This 387-nucleotide ribosomal RNA is filed under the name Triticum aestivum (bread wheat). Its description in RNAcentral is "partial small subunit ribosomal RNA". The record is from RNAcentral. Lineage: Eukaryota; Viridiplantae; Streptophyta; Magnoliopsida; Poales; Poaceae.
AUGGGGGCAGUUUUAGAUAUAGUGAAUAAGCUUCCUCUUACUGACAAAGAAGAUCGAGUGGUUUGGAGUCUGAAUCAGAAUGGUAAGUUUAGUACCAAACCUGUUUAUAAAUGGCUAGAAAAACCUCUCAAUGGGUGCCAUUAUAAAUGGAUUUGGAAGGCCAAAAUCCCUUUAAAGAUCAAAAAAUUUAUGUGGCAACUCUCACAGAAUGCGGUGUUAACUCGGUAGGUGAUGCGCCAUAGGAAAUGGCCUGGGAAUCCUGUAUGUUCCUUUUGCAAUGAUAUAGAAACCUCACAGCACCUGUUCUUUACUUGUUCUGUUGCGAGGGUGGUGUGGAGAUCUGUUGGGGUGGCCAUUGGCACCGAUAAGUGUCCAGAUAACUGCUAG